This 267-nucleotide unclassified non-coding RNA is filed under the name Hevea brasiliensis (rubber tree). Lineage: Eukaryota; Viridiplantae; Streptophyta; Magnoliopsida; Malpighiales; Euphorbiaceae. The record is from RNAcentral.
GAAGAAAUCUUCCAACAGGCAAAAGAGGAACAAGAAAAAUCUGACCAAGCUUUUACGGAACAGCAGCUAGGAGAGGAAGUGAUGAAUUCAGGGAAGAUAGUUGGCAAUGAUAUCGCAAAAUCAGUUACAGAUUCCAAGCCCACAGGGGGAUCCACAAAAAUUUCUGACCAUCUUGUAAAUGGUUCACCUAGAAAAAAGACCANNNNCUGACUGCAGGUUCAACUGUUCGGGUCAUAUCUGGGACUUUUGCAGAAUUUGAAGGCAGCC